RNAcentral lists this long non-coding RNA (425 nucleotides) under Anas platyrhynchos platyrhynchos (common mallard). Its description in RNAcentral is "lncRNA (ENSAPLG00000023007.1)". Lineage: Eukaryota; Metazoa; Chordata; Aves; Anseriformes; Anatidae. The record is from RNAcentral.
CUGCCCUUUCCCCAUCGCUGAGCCCAGACGCACACCGGUGGGAGAAAGGCUGCGUGCUCACCGGGCUGGGGGGGAGCCCCACGGCCUGCCCCCACCACGGGGCAGCAGCCCCAAAUUAUAUGGGGCGGUGUUUGCCAGCUGCUCGCCCUCCCUCACACCUCUCCUCUCCACCCCACAGGGCCCGGCCGUGUCGGAUGGAGAAUUAAACGCCUCCAGGGCCCGGGGCAGCAACCACAGCGUGAACAGCCUGCCCGCCCCGCAGAGCACCUGCAGCUCCGCGCACGGCUCCGUGGCCAGCUGGGCAGAGUCCUUCGAGACGCUGCUGCAGGACCGCGUGGCUGUCACCUACUUCACCCUCUCUGCCCCCCCAGGAGUUCCUCAAGAAGGAGUUCAGCGCCGAGAACGUCUACUUCUGGCAGGCAUGC